Molecule: non-coding RNA, 398 nt
Organism: Neolamprologus brichardi
Lineage: Eukaryota; Metazoa; Chordata; Actinopteri; Cichliformes; Cichlidae
Source: RefSeq, a predicted model, not a curated record
ACCACCUUCCUCCAGCGGCUCUCUGAGUUUGAAUGGAGGACUUCCAACUAGGUGGUGAUAAAGACUACGCUGAACCCGACCAUCCUGGUAAUGGAAAUCUAAAUCCCAUGUCACAUUCUAUUUCCUGGGACCCACUGAUAAUUAUUACAUUUUGUAAAUGAUUUUUGUUUUACAAUUGUAAUAGUUUAUUUAAUGUUCAUGCUGGUGGGUUUGUCUUGUUUUUAGUGGAAUGAAAAACUGUUUUCCUUAAAAAACUCAGACACAGAAAGGUGAAGGACUGUGUAGUUUUCAUGUACGCUUCUAUUUAUUUUGGUUAUUGACAUUGUUUUUAUUCAGUUGAAAAAUGUUUUUCUUGUUAAAAAAAAAUUAUCAACAAUAAAUGUUGGUUUAAUUCACUA